AUGAUCUGUUCUGCAGAUUUUCAGAACACUGAGUGCAUAUCUUGCCUUGCAAUGCUGCUGAUUCGACAAUCGAACUGGAUUCAAACUGGACUUGCGACCAGAGCAACCCCAAGCAAGAUGAACUCGAUUGGAAGAUGUCUUCUAAACUCUGAAGGCAAGCACUCGGCCGACACUUUUGCUCCUGUAGAAGGCAUGCCAUUUGAUUCAUGCCAAGAAGCGUUAAGAGGGACAAUGAUAAUUCUUCUUCGUGCAAAACAGAAUGAAGGUGAGGAUGCGUCUCCUCCAUGCAAAGCAGGUUGGUGCGUCGGUGAAACUAGAUGUGAAGUUAAGUGUGCGCGUCCAGAAUAUUUUCAGGCAUAUGGGAAUGUUGUGCAGACAUUUUGUUGGUUUCAGACAAUUGAAAGCAGUGCUACAGUCCAAAUUUUGCCAAGAGAAAGGAGUUUAGGGAAGACGACAGAGGAGGAAUAUGAUGUUGCCCCAACCCCAGGUACUACCUUUACACCCGUAUCCACUUUUGGACAAAAUCGGGAUCUAGAGUUCAUGAAGAGCGCAACUGAAUUUAAAAAGGUCCGUGCGUAUUCUUGGUACCUCGAGGAUGAGAGCAAGCCACCAAAAAAAAUGGCCAGAAGGAAGCACCAUAUGUGCAGGUGUGCUCAUGUGCGUUAG
RNAcentral lists this ribosomal RNA (666 nucleotides) under Triticum aestivum (bread wheat). RNAcentral describes it as "partial small subunit ribosomal RNA". The record is from RNAcentral. Lineage: Eukaryota; Viridiplantae; Streptophyta; Magnoliopsida; Poales; Poaceae.